This 537-nucleotide ribosomal RNA is filed under the name uncultured bacterium. Its description in RNAcentral is "partial 16S ribosomal RNA". It matches the Rfam family "Bacterial small subunit ribosomal RNA", at positions 355 to 907 of the family's 1533-position model. The record is from RNAcentral.
UGGGGAAUAUUGCACAAUGGGCGAAAGCCUGAUGCAGCAACGCCGCGUGAGUGAUGAAGGCCUUCGGGUUGUAAAGCUCUGUCUUUUGGGACGAUAAUGACGGUACCAAAGGAGGAAGCCACGGCUAACUACGUGCCAGCAGCCGCGGUAAUACGUAGGUGGCAAGCGUUGUCCGGAUUUACUGGGCGUAAAGGAUGCGUAGGCGGAUUUUUAAGUGAGAUGUGAAAUACCCGGGCUUAACUUGGGUGCUGCAUUUCAAACUGGGAAUCUAGAGUGCGGGAGAGGAGAAUGGAAUUCCUAGUGUAGCGGUGAAAUGCGUAGAGAUUAGGAAGAACACCAGUGGCGAAGGCGAUUCUCUGGACCGUAACUGACGCUGAGGCAUGAAAGCGUGGGUAGCAAACAGGAUUAGAUACCCUGGUAGUCCACGCCGUAAACGAUGAGUACUAGGUGUAGGAGGUAUCGACCCCUUCUGUGCCGCAGUUAACACAAUCAAGUACUCCGCCUGGGAAGUACGAUCGCAAGAUUAAAACUCAAAUG